AUGCUUUUAUCCGGUGGUUCUCAUGAAGAUUCUAACGGAGCUUCUAGUUCGUCUCUCAUCACUCGUCUUCUUCUCCGGUGGAACCAAUUCAAGUUGUUGGUGUUGAUCAUAUCCCUUUUUCCCUCGUUUCUAAUGCCUUCUCAUACCGGUGUACCUCAUAACAAUUCACUUCUCACUAUUCAUUUGUUCCGGCGUGCUCAGAGCUUUCUCAAAAGGCUCGUCUUGUCAUUCAAGAUCUGUUCAACCUAUUUCGAGGUUGUUAUCCCAUUCAAGCCAUUUAAUUCAACCGGUGCAAUCUCUCCUUCAAAUCGUUCAACGGUGUUUCUUUGA
This 330-nucleotide ribosomal RNA is filed under the name Triticum aestivum (bread wheat). RNAcentral describes it as "partial small subunit ribosomal RNA". Lineage: Eukaryota; Viridiplantae; Streptophyta; Magnoliopsida; Poales; Poaceae. The record is from RNAcentral.